CAUCCCAAUCAGGGCAAAAUUUAAUCUUUUGUCUUCUAGAAUUUUUAUAAAACCACUACACUUACAACACAAACAAGAAGCCAAGAACCAUCAUCAUCAUCGAUCGCGGCUUCCCAGCAGCCGAUCGAUGCCGAUUGCGCGCUUACUCUCGCGAGUGCGUGAUCUCCCAGCUAACCGUACGCACAUAAGGCACGUAUGCACUAGAUAUUGGGCAAUUUCAAAACCGAAGGCCGAUCGUUGGAUGAUUACCCUAGCACAAAACACAACAUGCACAUCCACCGAUUAUGUUUAUGCUCAUCAUCACAUCAACAUACCGGACCGACAUCAACCAUGCCAGCAUCAAACUAAUUUCCCGUUGGGGAAAUCAAGUCGAGCAGCCACCCUGGCGACGCCCCGGUACUCACUCUCCAAUCUCUUAUCGGCCGACGCCAACUAGAGCCGUGAGUGAUAAAGCGAGGCGCGAUCGGUCAGGCAAUAUAGCCGAUCGUCGCCCGCGGAUCAUCAUCAGUCACUGGUUUAUCGUAAAGGAGACCGCGUCGAUCGUCAACCCGAUAUAUUUUCCGCCAGACGAUCGACCUGAAGAAGAAGUUUAGUUCGAGGAAUUUCUGUGGUGAAAACCGUCUCACCAGUGAGGAAGAACAAGGCGUGGAAUAAUAACCGCACUGGAGUGCGAGGUGCCGCGACACCGUAAAUUGGUCGUGGUGGAGAGUGAGGUGGCGUCUACGAUCAGCAUGGAAAGCAUGGCCAUGCUGGAGUAGAUAGGAGUACUUGAGAUCGGCCUUCAUUUCCUGUUUCACAAGCUGAAUUCCAUCAUGGCUGGAGCCGUGGUGUGGAGCAGUGCGCUGCUGUGCAUUCCUGCCGACUGGACGGCGGGGCUAAUGCACCGGAUGGCCGGCGUUCUCGCCGGUGACCAAGCUGGGUUCUGCCCGGGCAGCAACGUUGUUCCGGAUCGUCGAGGGAUACACGGGGUCACACACACACACACAGGUUUACACCCGCAACUCUAGUUUUAAGGACGCCAACUAGGUUUAAUUCGUCAAUAUAGAUGAUUAUGUGAUCAAUUCAAGAGAUCGCCAACGAUGGAAUAGUGUACACACACAAGAAUUGAUGAAAAGUGAUAAAUUUGAAACAUAAAACUGUAAAUAGAUCGUUUUGCUUGGGAUUAAUUUGAUUUUUCUCCCAGAUGUAGUUGAGGUUGAAGUGAUCAUGAGAAUUUUUGUAUAUAUUUUCAAUACGAGAAGUGAUGGGAGGAAAUGUUGUAUAUUUUGUACAUUUGUAUAUAUGAAUUUUUGGCUGUAAAUAAAUGAUGAAUUUGAACUUGCAUGAAUUUUAACUAUUUUAAGAAGAAAACAUAAAAAAGAGGAAGUUUUGCAGGAUGAAACCGGCCUCGCUGGAGACUUGAGUCCAAGACGAUGACGGUCAGUAAUAGGAUCUUGAUUGGAUCUCGAAUUCGGUCUUGAUAACCUGGAAACAGCGCUGAGUCACUGACGAUGACGCCCUAUGACCCCGAGGAGUAACGAUUUAUCGGAGGUUGAUUCUUGUCUGACUGAUUCUUACCAAAAAACAUUAGAACUUUUAGAAUUUUGCAUGAAUAUUUAUUAUUUUAAUUCUAGUAAAUGGUGGAUUUGAAAAUGAAGCAGGAUGA
Molecule: long non-coding RNA, 1645 nt
Organism: Culex quinquefasciatus (southern house mosquito)
Lineage: Eukaryota; Metazoa; Arthropoda; Insecta; Diptera; Culicidae
Exons: 5
Source: RefSeq, a predicted model, not a curated record